Molecule: ribosomal RNA, 375 nt
Filed under: uncultured Acinetobacter sp.
Lineage: Bacteria; Pseudomonadati; Pseudomonadota; Gammaproteobacteria; Moraxellales; Moraxellaceae
Description: bacterial SSU rRNA
Rfam family: Bacterial small subunit ribosomal RNA
Source: RNAcentral
AGCAGCCGCGGUGAUACAGAGGGUGACGAGCGUUAAUCGGAUUUACUGGGCGUAAAGCGUGCGUAGGCGGCCAUUUAAGUCAAAUGUGAAAUCCCCGAGCUUAACUUGGGAAUUGCAUUCGAUACUGGAUGGCUAGAGUAUGGGAGAGGAUGGUAGAAUUCCAGGUGUAGCGGUGAAAUGCGUAGAGAUCUGGAGGAAUACCGAUGGCGAAGGCAGCCAUCUGGCCUAAUACUGACGCUGAGGUACGAAAGCAUGGGGAGCAAACAGGAUUAGAUACCCUGGUAGUCCAUGCCGUAAACGAUGUCUACUAGCCGUUGGGGCCUUUGAGGCUUUAGUGGCGCAGCUAACGCGAUAAGUAGUCCGCCUGGGGAGUAA